This is a long non-coding RNA of Capra hircus (goat), 913 nucleotides long. RefSeq lists it as uncharacterized. The record is from RefSeq and is a predicted model, not a curated record. The transcript is spliced from 3 exons. NCBI's taxonomy places the organism in Eukaryota, Metazoa, Chordata, Mammalia, Artiodactyla, Bovidae.
AACCUGAAGGGGAUGGAGUCUAAGGGCGUGAAGGCCAGGUUCCGCCCACUAGGGGCUAGGAGGAGUUACAAGCCGGAGGAAAGUGGGGAAAGGCAGGACCUGGUGUCCUGAGACUAACAAAUAAUUGCUUGUUGGCCGAGUACAGGAUAAGGGUAAAGCAGCUAACCAGUAUUGCGCAGUAAGUGUGCUAAACGCCAUGUGGGCAUCAUUGCUUUAAUUAUUGACCGGGUCGCUGUGAAUAUGCAGCAUAACCCGCGGAAUGAAGUCAAAGCAAUCCUUGAGGAAAAGUUACCACCUUAAACAGAUUUUACAAAAUCAUAUGAACUACUUGAAUAAUCUAAGGCCCCUGCCAGGGCCUUGGAAGGGACCCAACAAGAUUAAUCAAGCAAGCUGAUGGAGAAAAUGAAAGUGCUUGCUUCUCUGAACUACUCAUUCUCAACAUGCCUGGAGCUCCUGUUCCAUUUUCUUUCACCUUUGAUGGGCUGCUUCUUCUCUCAGGAGGCUCUGAACCCAAGAUCUGACCCCUUCCCCACCUUGAGACAACAAACUGAACCAGCCUCCGAGGUCAGAUGCUUUUUCUGAAGUAGGGGGCCAGGGUGGAUAGGAUUUGGGGAUGGAAUGGAAUAUUGAAACAUGCACAGUGGAAAGCAAAGCAGGGAUUAAGGCAGCUUCCUGAGUUCAUGAGAGGUAACGUCUACCUGUCACCUGAACGGCUGGGUGACUCACCUGCUUUGGAAGGAGAUGUCUAGGGAGAUGAAUACUUUCGAGGCAAGGCCCACUUUCCUGGCUCGCCAUGUCUUGCUGGAAUCACCUGCAGUGCCCCAUCACCAAGACGGGUUCACAUACCUCUUUCAUUUCUCAUCUGUCCUGGAAACUGCCCUCCUCCCUCUGGCUAGAACCUGGCUCAAACACU